This is a long non-coding RNA of Marmota monax (woodchuck), 561 nucleotides long. RefSeq lists it as uncharacterized. NCBI's taxonomy places the organism in Eukaryota, Metazoa, Chordata, Mammalia, Rodentia, Sciuridae. The record is from RefSeq and is a predicted model, not a curated record. The transcript is spliced from 4 exons.
ACCGUUGCUCCUCCCCCUUACUCUCUCUGCUUCCUGCUACCUUGGAUGGAGCAGCACCCCUCCACCACACCCUCUGUCAUGAGGCUCUGCUUCAGUCUGGGCCCAGAGCACUGGAAUUCGCCCACCAUCACCUGAACCUCAGAAACCAUGGGCUCAAACUGACCCUGGUAGAGAACACAGGACAAUGGACUUCAGCUGACUGCUGGGCUGCCUCGAGAGCCAGCUGCAUUUCCCGUUCUGGUAGUUCUCAAAAUGUGGGUUGCCAGCACCCACACCAGCAUCCAGAACUUGAAGUAAAGUUGAAGAAGGAGAAGGAGGAGGAAGAGGAAGAAGAAGGAAGAAAUGCAAAUUCCCAGACUCCACCCCACACACCUCAGACCUGCUGACUCAGCCUCCAGGGCUGCCUGGCCACGGGUGCUCAACAAGCCUCCCAUAAACAUCCUUAUGCCACCUCACUGUAAUCAAAGCCCUGAAGGACACCUGCUGUCUUCAUGAGCUGCUGGGCCAGGGUUCCUGUUAUGUCGGCAGAAUCCUUCAGCCCUGACUGCAAGAGAAACUCCG